Non-coding RNA from Geopyxis carbonaria, 72 nucleotides. The record is from the annotation of a GenBank genome assembly. Lineage: Eukaryota; Fungi; Ascomycota; Pezizomycetes; Pezizales; Tarzettaceae.
GACCCCGUGGCGGAGUGGUAACGCGUUUGGUUCCAUACCGAAAGGCUGCGUGUUCGAAUCACGCCGGGGUCG